GCGUUUGGCAUAUGCUGGUUGGAUGGA
RNAcentral lists this non-coding RNA (27 nucleotides) under Homo sapiens (human). Lineage: Eukaryota; Metazoa; Chordata; Mammalia; Primates; Hominidae. The record is from RNAcentral.